This 1679-nucleotide long non-coding RNA is filed under the name Manihot esculenta (cassava). RNAcentral's name for it is "long non-coding RNA (MESC_LNC000903)". Lineage: Eukaryota; Viridiplantae; Streptophyta; Magnoliopsida; Malpighiales; Euphorbiaceae. The record is from RNAcentral.
UGACAAUUUGUACAAGAAACUCUUGCACCAAUGAAUCCGAUGGAAACGAAGUACCAAGCAACAAAAUGGUGUUUAGCAUUGUUAGAACAGAUUUCCACCCUGCGAAAGGCGAUUUACAUGAAUUGGCAGCAUUGAUUGCAGAUAAACAAGAAGAGGAAAACAGUCUGAUUGAAGAAGCAGUUGACAGCGGCAAUGGAGAUUACAUAGCAUAUGGAACAAAUUUGACAUUUGUUAGCUUGGAAGAAGCAGAUAUUUAUGGGCUAGAAUUGAAAGAACAUAAGCCUGUUUUUGCAUAUUAUACCAUCAAAGGUGUUGGUGAUGAAGGAGCUGUUCUUGUGCUUCCUGGGAAAAGUAAUGGCAGUAGGGCAGUGACUGUGAUUCUGCCGGAGAGUCGACUUGCUGAUUUAAAGAAUGAGCUCAGGAAGGAAUGGGGUAUCGUCUAAGAAAACGAAGUCAUAUGCCCAAAAUCCUUCGCCAAAAUUCUCGUAUGUAAUGGCCUUUGCUGCAAUUAUAGGGUGAUAAAAAGAUUGAGCUGUGAAUGAUUUGUGAUGGGAUAAGUGAUGAUAUUAUGAUAUCGAAUAAAUUGGUUUAUUAACUCAACUUGAGAGGCACUACAUUAUGAAUUUCCAAGAAACUGCAAUAAGUUAUAUAUAACUUUUUCGCAGAAGCAUAGUUAUGCAGUCUAAUGGAACCUUCUUCCUGUUUAUAAUGAAAAAAUGAAAAAUGAGGAUCAGUUUGUCACUUUUAUUUUUUAGUUUUAUCAUCCAAAGGUGUUUGCAUUAAAAGGCCCUUAGAUCAAGAGAAAAAAAUACAAGCCUAUUAAGAAAAAUCAAACCCAAAGUAGACCAUAAACUAAAUCCACAAAACACAAAACUCAACCUAGAUCGACAAAAUCAAAACAACGGUGCUGAUUGAAACAUGAAAAAUCAAUUCUCGACCAAUCGCAGCCACUAAACAAUAAGUUAGCCCUUCCAUUACGGCCAUAGUUGGAGGAAACCAUCGAAAGAGAAAAGAAAGAAGCAUGCAUGUCCAAAAACCAAGUCACAAUACAAGCACAAAAAUAUACAAGAAACAAAUACCGACAACAAAAAAGCAAAGUAACCACCAUCCAAUCCAGAACGUUUGACCAUCCGUUGUCUGCCAACGGUCUGCAAGACAUAAUAAAGAAACCUGAAUCCCCACCAAGACGAUCACCACACAACAGAGGUGAUGCGACAGAGUUUUCAAGAGUAUAAUUUGUUAGACGUAGCGAUGCAGUUUUAAGGUGCCAUUAUUGAUAAUUGAAAUUUUUCUAUGAAAGAUAAGGAAUCUUUCUAUGAAAAUAAAACCUGAACAUUAAAACCUUAACAUAAUACCAGAACAAUAAAACUAGAAUCUUAGACGAAACAUAAUAAAACCAUAUCAAACAAGACAAAAUAAAAUAAUAAAGAAACAAAAUUAUACAAUACCAAACAGAAAAAUAGAGGCUGGAGCCGCUUUUCCGACUAACAAAACCCACAAACACUCGCUUCUCUCUCUAUGGAUCAGUUUGUUGCUAAGCUAAGCUUAAUGAAAGAUUAGGUGAAGGGGGACAAGAAGGAAGUCAUCCACGCAUCCUUUGGUGGAGUUGGGCAGUUGGGUCCAAGUCCGAAGUGUGGAACAUAAUGACUUAGGUGUUGAAUGAUAUAGCAAUUGUGGAA